Molecule: ribosomal RNA, 1333 nt
Filed under: Platyprosopus sp. DDM0303
Lineage: Eukaryota; Metazoa; Arthropoda; Insecta; Coleoptera; Staphylinidae
Description: eukaryotic LSU rRNA
Rfam family: Eukaryotic large subunit ribosomal RNA
Source: RNAcentral
ACUAACAGGAUUCCCCAAGUAGCGGCGAGCGAACAGGGAAAAGCCCAGCACUGAAUCCCGCGGCCGGUUACCGGACGCCGGGAAAUGUAGUGUUAGGGAGGGUCCGCCAUCCCGAGAUCUUGCGACGAGUCCAAGUCCUUCUUGAACGGGGCCACUUACCCAAAGAGGGUGCCAGGCCCGUGGGACUGUCGCGGAUAGCGGGAGGACCUCUCCUCAGAGUCGGGUUGCUUGAGAGUGCAGCCCUAAGUGGGUGGUAAACUCCAUCUAAGGCUAAAUAUCACCACGAGACCGAUAGCGAACAAGUACCGUGAGGGAAAGUUGAAAAGAACUUUGAAGAGAGAGUUCAAUAGUACGUGAAACCGUUCAGGGGUAAACCUGAGAAACCCGAAAGAUCGACCGGGGAGAUUCAGCGCGUUUCGCGCGUCGGCGAGCCGCGAACGUGCGACGGUCGUGUUUUUCGUCCUUUGCGGGACGACAAAACCGAUCGCGCCGUUCGCCGGCCGUCCGGCACCGAACGCGUGCACUUCUCCCCCGGUAGGACGUCGCGACCCGUCGGUCGUCUGUCUACGGUUCCCGGUGGUGACCGGUCGACGAGCGUAAGCAAGUCGUGCCGGACCCGGGAUGUCCCGUCAGGCGAGAUAUAUAAAAUAUUGAAAAACUCAACGGUAUAAAAUAAAACAAUAUGACUUUAAACACAUAGCUUCGAGGGGAGGCGUCCCCUAAGGUGGCGCGCGUCCCACCCGAACGCAAGUACAACACUAUGUGUGUGUGCGUUGCUUCGCUUCACUGCGGGGUGCGUGCAUGUUCUGCACCGCGUUUUUAAAAGACAAACGUAUAUCGUUUGGCGCGCCGCAAAGUCUACUGUAGUGGUCGCGUUUUUCUAGGGGGGAUGCGGGUUUUAACAUUAUCGGCAUACCCGAUACCCGUCGCACUCCCGGGGCGUCUCAAGCUCAUCGCGAGCUGAGGCGCACCCAGAGCGUACACGCUGGGACCCGAAAGAUGGUGAACUAUGCCUGGUCAGGACGAAGUCAGGGGAAACCCUGAUGGAGGUCCGUAGCGAUUCUGACGUGCAAAUCGAUCGUCGGAACUGGGUAUAGGGGCGAAAGACUAAUCGAACCAUCUAGUAGCUGGUUCCCUCUGAAGUUUCCCUCAGGAUAGCUGGCUCUCGUUAAGAGAGAGUUUCAUCCGGUAAAGCGAAUGAUUAGAGGCAUUGGGGUCGAAACGGCCUCAACCUAUUCUCAAACUUUAAAUGGGUGAGAACCCCGGCUUGCUUAAACGAUGAAGCCGGGGAAAGAAAUUUGAAUUAUUGAUUUGGAUUAACAUAGAAUCAGAG